GUCUCUGUGGUGCAGUUGAUUAGUGCGUUGGGCUAUUAACUGAAAGGCUGGUGGUUGGAGCCCACCCAGGGACG
RNAcentral lists this transfer RNA (74 nucleotides) under Loxodonta africana (African savanna elephant). It matches the Rfam family "tRNA". From Rfam's summary of the family: Transfer RNA (tRNA) molecules are approximately 80 nucleotides in length. Their secondary structure includes four short double-helical elements and three loops (D, anti-codon, and T loops). The record is from Rfam by way of RNAcentral. Lineage: Eukaryota; Metazoa; Chordata; Mammalia; Proboscidea; Elephantidae.